This 97-nucleotide ribosomal RNA is filed under the name Aspergillus glaucus CBS 516.65. The record is from RNAcentral. Lineage: Eukaryota; Fungi; Ascomycota; Eurotiomycetes; Eurotiales; Aspergillaceae.
AACAGGGCUUCCCGUCCGCUCAGCCGUACUUAAGCCACACGCCGGCCGGUUAGUAGUUGGGUGGGUGACCACCAGCGAAUCCCGGCUGUUGUAUGUU